GGGGGCGACAGGUUUCGACAAGAUCCUAAACAAAACAAGGCAAACCGAGCGCAAUCUCGCAAAUCUUGCAAAACGAAAUAAGUGCUAACUUAUUCUCAAAAGCAAAAAGCGCGGUAGCUUCGCUAUUUAGCGCUCCAGCUUACGCUCUCGCUUAAAGCUGAGAGCCAUCCGGACCCUUGAUGCCUAAUAGAGGAAUUCGGGUGUCAUCUUAUUGGGCUAAGCAGUUAAAACGCCUUGAUUGACUGUCGAAAAAUAUAAAGGCAAAGAUUGAAAAUAUUUUGUUCGGUUUCGAGUUUUCAAUCUUCAAAUUUAAAUCGGACUAAGUUUGUAGAAUUGUUUUGCGCCGGAUUUUUGGACGGGGGUUCAAUCUCCCCGCCUCCACCC
Non-coding RNA from Parcubacteria group bacterium CG1_02_44_65, 384 nucleotides. The record is from Rfam.